This 497-nucleotide ribosomal RNA is filed under the name uncultured bacterium. RNAcentral describes it as "partial 16S ribosomal RNA". It matches the Rfam family "Bacterial small subunit ribosomal RNA", at positions 28 to 507 of the family's 1533-position model. The record is from RNAcentral.
GAUGAACGCUGGCGGCGUGCCUAAUACAUGCAAGUCGAACGCUGAAGCUUGGUGCUUGCACCGAGCGGAUGAGUUGCGAACGGGUGAGUAACGCGUAGGUAACCUGCCUCUUAGCGGGGGAUAACUAUUGGAAACGAUAGCUAAUACCGCAUAAAAGUCGAUAUCGCAUGAUAUUGAUUUGAAAGGUGCAACUGCAUCACUAAGAGAUGGACCUGCGUUGUAUUAGCUAGUUGGUGAGGUAACGGCUCACCAAGGCGACGAUACAUAGCCGACCUGAGAGGGUGAUCGGCCACACUGGGACUGAGACACGGCCCAGACUCCUACGGGAGGCAGCAGUAGGGAAUCUUCGGCAAUGGGGGCAACCCUGACCGAGCAACGCCGCGUGAGUGAAGAAGGUUUUCGGAUCGUAAAGCUCUGUUGUAAGAGAAGAACGAGUGUGAGAGUGGAAAGUUCACACUGUGACGGUAACUUACCAGAAAGGGACGGCUAACUACGUG